GAUGAACGCUGGCGGCGUGCCUAACACAUGCAAGUCGAGCGAACAGACGAGGAGUUUGCUCCUCUGACGUUAGCGGCGGACGGGUGAGUAACACGUGGAUAACCUACCUAUAAGACUGGGAUAACUUCGGGAAACCGGAGCUAAUACCGGAUAAUAUAUUGAACCGCAUGGUUCAAUAGUGAAAGACGGUUUUGCUGUCACUUAUAGAUGGAUCCGCGCUGCAUUAGCUAGUUGGUAAGGUAACGGCUUACCAAGGCAACGAUGCGUAGCCGACCUGAGAGGGUGAUCGGCCACACUGGAACUGAGACACGGUCCAGACUCCUACGGGAGGCAGCAGUAGGGAAUCUUCCGCAAUGGGCGAAAGCCUGACGGAGCAACGCCGCGUGAGUGAUGAAGGUCUUCGGAUCGUAAAACUCUGUUAUUAGGGAAGAACAAAUGUGUGAGUAACUAUGCACGUCUUGACGGUACCUAAUCAAAAAGCCACGGCUAACUACGUG
RNAcentral lists this ribosomal RNA (497 nucleotides) under uncultured bacterium. RNAcentral describes it as "partial 16S ribosomal RNA". It matches the Rfam family "Bacterial small subunit ribosomal RNA", at positions 28 to 507 of the family's 1533-position model. The record is from RNAcentral.